RNAcentral lists this ribosomal RNA (253 nucleotides) under uncultured bacterium. Its description in RNAcentral is "partial 16S ribosomal RNA". It matches the Rfam family "Bacterial small subunit ribosomal RNA", at positions 524 to 776 of the family's 1533-position model. The record is from RNAcentral.
UACGUAGGGCGCAAGCGUUGUCCGGAAUUAUUGGGCGUAAAGAGCUCGUAGGCGGUUUGUCGCGUCUGUCGUGAAAGCUUGGGGCUUAACCCCAAGUCUGCGGUGGAUACGGGCAGACUAGAGGCAGGUAGGGGAGACUGGGAUUCCUGGUGUAGCGGUGAAAUGCGCAGAUAUCAGGAGGAACACCGGUGGCGAAGGCGGGUCUCUGGGCCGAUACUGACGCUGAGGAGCGAAAGCGUGGGGAGCGAACAGG